GAAAAGAUGAUAUAAUUCGUCUGGUGGAAUUAAAAAGAAAUGAAAUAAAUAAAUAAAAUUCCCAAUGUGUAAAAACAAAAAUAAAAAUUUAAAACAUAAAAUAAAAUAAGAUUAGUAAAUCAGUAAUAUUCAAAUAAAUUAGCCAUUACGACAACUGCUGGCAGGAGGAGCAAAAGAGUAGAAGUGCUGGCAAAUAUGAUCCAG
This 204-nucleotide long non-coding RNA is filed under the name Lathyrus oleraceus (garden pea). Its description in RNAcentral is "Pisum sativum (pea) long non-coding RNA (PSAT_LNC013987)". Lineage: Eukaryota; Viridiplantae; Streptophyta; Magnoliopsida; Fabales; Fabaceae. The record is from RNAcentral.